This 76-nucleotide transfer RNA is filed under the name bacterium. RNAcentral describes it as "tRNA-Ala". It matches the Rfam family "tRNA". Rfam says of the family: Transfer RNA (tRNA) molecules are approximately 80 nucleotides in length. Their secondary structure includes four short double-helical elements and three loops (D, anti-codon, and T loops). The record is from RNAcentral.
GGGCCCUUAGCUUAGUUGGUAGAGCGCCACAUUUGCAAUGUGGAGGUCACCGGUUCGAACCCGGUAGGGUCCACCA